Molecule: long non-coding RNA, 212 nt
Filed under: Coccomyxa subellipsoidea
Lineage: Eukaryota; Viridiplantae; Chlorophyta; Trebouxiophyceae; Coccomyxaceae
Description: long non-coding RNA (CSUB_LNC000343)
Source: RNAcentral
CCAAUGAUCGUGUCACUAAUUGCUGUACUUGUCACUAAUUGCUGUACAGAGAUUUAUGGCAGCACACAUCACGACAUAAGGAGAUCACGCUCCUCAGCUGGCCUAUGGGACUGUACAUCCUCACCGUGAUUGCAACAGUUUAGCAGUAUGUGCAAGCAGUGAAUGAUGAUGUUUGAAGGGUAAUAUUGAAAAGCAUAUCAGUCCAAUAAGGC